RNAcentral lists this unclassified non-coding RNA (418 nucleotides) under soil metagenome. Its description in RNAcentral is "partial contains 5.8S ribosomal RNA, internal transcribed spacer 2, and large subunit ribosomal RNA". The stretch from base 1 to 120 matches the Rfam family "5.8S ribosomal RNA", at positions 35 to 154 of the family's 154-position model. The record is from RNAcentral.
GAUGAAGAACGCAGCGAAAUGCGAUAAGUAAUGUGAAUUGCAGAAUUCAGUGAAUCAUCGAAUCUUUGAACGCAUAUUGCGCCCGUCGGCAUUCCGGCGGGCACGCCUGUUCGAGCGUCUUACUCACAAGUUCGAGCAAGUUAUUUGUUUGACUUGCUUGGUGAUGGGCGUUGUUUCCCCUGCUGCUUGCUAGCAGGGGCGCCCCAAAGUCAGACUCCUGGAAACGGGAGGGUGCAGUGGAGCCUCUUUUGCGGGCUCUACAGCCGAGGAGAGCGUCUAUUCUACCGCCGUAAGCACCCCCGAGUGUGAUGGGCGUAGAGUGAGUUUCCCCUCGGCGUCGCCUUGAGUAUUUCUCUUGCAAUGACCUCGGAUCAGGCGGGGAUACCCGCUGAACUUAAGCAUAUCAAUAAGCGGAGGA